Molecule: ribosomal RNA, 677 nt
Filed under: uncultured Zoogloea sp.
Lineage: Bacteria; Pseudomonadati; Pseudomonadota; Betaproteobacteria; Rhodocyclales; Zoogloeaceae
Description: bacterial SSU rRNA
Rfam family: Bacterial small subunit ribosomal RNA
Source: RNAcentral
AGUGGCGAACGGGUGAGUAAUGCAUCGGAACGUACCGUGUAGUGGGGGAUAACGUAGCGAAAGUUACGCUAAUACCGCAUACGCCCUGAGGGGGAAAGUGGGGGACCGCAAGGCCUCACGCUAUAUGAGCGGCCGAUGUCGGAUUAGCUAGUUGGUAGGGUAAAGGCCUACCAAGGCGACGAUCCGUAGCGGGUCUGAAAGGAUGAUCCGCCACACUGGGACUGAGACACGGCCCAGACUCCUACGGGAGGCAGCAGUGGGGAAUUUUGGACAAUGGGCGCAAGCCUGAUCCAGCCAUGCCGCGUGAGUGAAGAAGGCCUUCGGGUUGUAAAGCUCUUUCAGACGGAAAGAAAUCUCUCGGGAUAACACCCUGGGAGGAUGACGGUACCGUAAGAAGAAGCACCGGCUAACUACGUGCCAGCAGCCGCGGUAAUACGUAGGGUGCGAGCGUUAAUCGGAAUUACUGGGCGUAAAGCGUGCGCAGGCGGUGAUGUAAGACAGAUGUGAAAUCCCCGGGCUCAACCUGGGAACUGCGUUUGUGACUGCAUCACUCGAGUACGGCAGAGGGGAGGUGGAAUUCCGCGUGUAGCAGUGAAAUGCGUAGAUAUGCGGAGGAACACCGAUGGCGAAGGCAGCCUCCUGGGCCAGUACUGACGCUCAUGCACGAAAAGCGUGGG